GUGAGCUCCUCCAGUAAUGACUAAGGACUGUUGCAAAGACUGCUACAGCUUCUCCAUUAAGACGUCUAGUGGGAAGAUGACACACUGAAGCAACUGACCCUCCAGUCUGAAAGAGGAGACCUCUGAGGUCACCUUCAUGUGCUUCACCACAAGCUUAUCAGCAAAUCUCAGGGCCACCUCAAGUAUCUUUCUUGACCAUGGAAAUGCAACAUGUGUGUCUGGAGUUCUGGC
Molecule: long non-coding RNA, 231 nt
Filed under: Rattus norvegicus (Norway rat)
Lineage: Eukaryota; Metazoa; Chordata; Mammalia; Rodentia; Muridae
Description: long non-coding RNA NONRATT033306
Source: RNAcentral